This is a long non-coding RNA of Dunckerocampus dactyliophorus (ringed pipefish), 11534 nucleotides long. RefSeq lists it as uncharacterized. Lineage: Eukaryota; Metazoa; Chordata; Actinopteri; Syngnathiformes; Syngnathidae. The record is from RefSeq and is a predicted model, not a curated record. The transcript is spliced from 6 exons.
AGCUGAAAUUCUUUCCCUCUUUCUUCUUAAUCUGCUAUGCAGGAUCCAUUUGGUUAAUAAAAUAUUGACUCCCAUUGCACAAAUCCGUGAAAUUGCCACAAACACGCCGAGGAGAGCACACACACUACGCUGCCUCUAGCUUUUGUGCAUGCAUGUCUCUUCCCGGACGCUUUGCAUUGACAUUGACAAGUCGCAUUAUUUUGGUAAUGUGAACGGCACAUAAAAAAUCAGAUUUGAACAAAAAUUCGAAUUGGGCAUCGUAUCCUUCAGUGUGAACAUAGCCAAAGAGAUAAGGUUCUGAAUCCUCAUUUGUCCAAAAGUAGUUUGGCAGCUCUCACCAAGUCUGCUACUAAAUCACACUAUCUAACUGUGUUGUUGGAUUAUAUGUGUAAGGCACAAGCAGGUAAAUGCUAGAUCUACUUUUAAGGCAAUUUUAAGGCGUCUCGUAGUGGAAAGGGUUAUAGAAAACAAAUGACCCGACAACACAAUGCAUUCAUGUGACAUUGGUCUACUUAAUAAACAUGUAAGGCCUUCAUAUACAGUAGCCUCUCGGUGUUACCAUCUGAGGGACGGGCAUAGGUGCGGGGGCCAUGGGAUGGGCUGAGUGAGUCCAGUUUGUGCUGGUGCACAUGGUCUUUGUCUGCCAGCCGCUCCCUGCUGUCGGCUUCUUUUCCACCAGCUGACUCCACUGCAGCUCAGGUCUGAUGCACAUAAACAUCAGAAUUCCAUGAAUGAUUUCAAAAAUCUGAAAUUCGAUUUGGAAUUUACCUUUUAGCUGGCGUCCCACCAAACUGCAGGUCUAAGAGUAGCAAAGCGAUGUAAAAUUAGCUGCAAGGAAGCGACCACUGUGCAAAGCCGUCUAUGUAAAUACUCACUCCCGACGAGGUUAGCUAAUGACGAGUCCAAAUCGUUGUGAAGCAUCUUCCCGGAGUGCAAUGGGGCUCCGGGGCUGAGAAUCUGAGUGGGCGGGGCUGGCUUGAGGAGAUCACCUGACAUGCACAAAUCACCAUAGUUACAAGAGGGGAGAGAUCAUAUUGUUUCAUCAUCUGAUUGCAUGUACCUCCCCAGGCGUUGUUGUUGGGCACAGUGUGUGUGGUCUGUAGGGGGGUGAAGGUAGGCUGCAGGGUGAACAGCUCACUGGUCAGAUUUGGCACACUGGAGAAGAAGACGGGUGGAUCACGAUGCAAAACAUACAUGAUGUACAUCGGCUGUUUUUCUAAUUGUUUAGUAUACUCACUAGUUGUUGACUGGUACAAGGGGGGAGUUGGAGAAGAGGUCCGUGGCCCCUCCGCUGCUGUUGGCACUUCCCACCGACUGGGUGCUGGGGGACACAUUGGCCGUCUGGAUGUCGAUCACCUUAUGACCGUCCUCCUGCACGCACAGUAGUGAUCAGAGUCUGUUGUCCGUCUCCGUCUUGUCGUCCAUUCGGCUAAGGGAGAUUUCGGUGCUGGAGAGAGACGACACCGCACUGGAUCUUAAGGUUUGGUUGACCGGGCAUGCACAGAUCAGCGCAAUCAUGCAAGAGCACAACAAUCUGAUCCAGCUAACAGGCCCCAUGCAGAUGAAGAGUUGAGACGUAAAGGAGGACUAGCGAAGGGGAGCAAAAAGAAGAGAGCGCCAGCUGCAGUGUGGGCAGGUCUGUAGGCAACCUGUUGAGAUUCGCUCAAGAUUCCCGUCCUCUCCGCUCCCACCCCCAGAAAAGGUUACCUCGGCCACUUUGAGGAACUCGGACAGUUUGGUCAUCCUGUUGAGGAAGGCCAUGUAGAUCUCCAGCGCCUCUUUGCACUGCUGCUUCUUCAUGUCAAAGUACUUCUCUGUGUGGGUCAGAGCACGUGCUUUUUGAAUAAACUGCCGAUGUUAUAACAUCAUCACUAGAGCACCAGAACAGUAGGUACACCUGCACCGUCUAAGAUCCAAUGUAAGGGCUGGAUGUCAAGUUGACAAAUAUCAUGUAUUUGCAGGUGUACCUAAUAAAGGGACUCUACUGUAUGGCCUCAGUAAGUGUCGAUGUACCCAGCAUGUUGAUGACUCCCUCAUUGUAGGCGGCGAACAAUCGUAUGGAGUCUUUGAAGAGCAGCAUGAAGGCCGUGUUGAUGACGCCGUUGGUCAGCUCAUUGGAGUUGGGCUGCAGCAGGUCGGAGCGCGCGCACACACACACACACACACACAUACAGUGAGGUCACAUGGCAACAUCACAUCUAAAGGCACUAUUUGAUCAUAUGUACCUGGAAAUCCAGCAGAGCAUCCAGCUGGUUCUGAAUGACAGGUAGCGUCUUAAUCAGCUUGUCUGUGUUCAUGGUGCGCAUCACACCGUCAGCCCUGGUAACACACACACACACGCUGGUAGAUCAAAUCCUUUGUUUGUUUAAUGAGGAGAAGGUGCGUGUGUUACCCUCGCUUCAUCUUGGUGAAGUCCACUGCAGCUAACCCGAACGACAUGGCUUUUUCAUUCAGGUAGCGACUGUAGCGUCUGAUGAAGGUUGACAUGUUGUACCCUGGUGGGAGGGGAGGAGAUGCAGUGGUGUUAGUAAAUACAUUGCAGCGCUCCUCUUGUCAUAUAUAAAAUCUUUGAUUAGCGUUUAUGCAUCACGUCCUUAAAAACAGCUAGCAUAGAAUUAUGGAAUUUGAUUUUUGAAAUUUCCAGGUCUGGAAAAUUAUGGAAAAUGUAAACUCGGAAAGCAUGGACUCUUCAUUUUUCCAAGACUGUUACCACUGUUCAAUUUUCUAAAAGAUAAAAUUAGGAAUAACUAAAAAAAAAGAAAAAAAAAAAAAGGAUUGAUCUGUUUAGGUGCUUGCAAGGGCAGCUAAGAUGUUUGUGUGAGAGCACGCAGUAGGUGACGCAUCCCAGAAAACAUUUUGGAAGAAAGACAAGUUGAAAGGCCAUCCCUCUGCUCUUAUCCUCCCCCACCCCAUUUUAAGGCCCGCCCAGAUGUCAAGUUUUACUGCUGCUUCAACGGACAGGUGAUGUCCACUUACAUUCCGUCCACAUCUUGGACAGAACUCAAAAUGGGCAAACGUCCAUUUUCUGAAGACUGGCUCAAAAAGGCCAACUAUAAAGACCGACUGGCUAAAGAUCCCUAAUGGACACACACACACAGCUAAAUGCAGACUUUUGACAUCUCCAACAUGGGGGUGGUGACGGUUGUUAUAUGCAGAGGAAAAAGCACUGUCGUCUGUGUCAAUACGUUUUUGACUAAACCCAGCGUGAGACCAAGUCCGACAAUGUAUCUGGGUUUUGGCUUUGUAUGAGCUACAUUACCUAGCUAUAAUCUCCUGGACAUUAUAUUUUGGCAUAAUGGCAUACAUAUUCAGAAUAAUGAAAACAAACAAUUAAUUCCAUCACUUAUUGACAUGAUGCACAUCUAUUUAUGAGUAUGGAAGCUUGAAAUGUAAAAUCCGUAGGAACCCUGUAUUGACAAGUGCUGUCGUAGUACAUAAAUGUCAAAGUCAGGCCAAAUCUGGCCGAUGCUGUAAUUUCAUCCGGCCCGCGGAACUGUGUGGAAAAUAGCAUUGAAUUGGCCUGCAUCGCGGAGCACAACAACAAACAAAGUACUUGCACCAAUUUGCAUGAUCAAGCAAUUCUUACGGUAAAUCAUUCUUACCAUUCUUUGCCUGACUCAGACCAAAAGUAACAAUUUAACUGCACAUGACUUAAAAAAACACCACUUUAACCAUUAUACCCUGUCUGCACAAAGUAGCACCUUAAAGAGGCAUAAGACAGUCAGAAGUGAUUAUUUUAACUACAGCAAAGCAUGCUGGGAAAAGCAUAAUCCGCCCCUUCCACAGUUGUAAACUCUUCCGAGUUACACAUCUCACGGACUAUGAUGUUUUUGCGUUGUUAUAAAAUCCUGCCGCUUUUGCCCGGACGUUGAGAGGAUGACUAGAAGGUGGUAACUAGUACUAGCCAAAAAAGAAAAUAAAAAAAAUAAAAACGCUGGCUUUUCCUCUGUGGAAGGACGUCAGUAGCAAGCACCUUGCAGCUCACGCACGCCCCACCCUUUCAGGAUGCAGCGUGCCUCCCGUAUGACAUAUGCAUGUGUUUUAUUCAAUGAUUAGGAAGAAUAAUGACGUCACAUUUACAUUAAAGACACUACAGAGGCCGUAGAAAGUCGUGGUGUAGAAUAAAUGUUUCUGCAACAUUACAUUAUUGGCGACAUGCCGACAAACAGAAACUGGCAGGUGCCAUGAGCCAACUGAGUGUGUACUCAGACGGUAGGUGGGGCUUGCGCACUAAGCCCAGAAGCCACGCUCACAGUGGCCUCUUCCCUGUAUUUUACCAGGAAAUCCGCAAAUUUAGCUAUUUUUUACUUAAGAACACACAACGAUUCGAAUCACACAGAAAAUAAAUUUAUAAUACAGUUCAAUGGACAAAUAUGAAUAUUUAUUUUAUGUUAUGAUUCGUUUUUGUUUCUUUCAUCAUGAGCCUCACCUGCCCUCCCUGACCGCACAUCACUGAGUGUUGUAUUUUUAGGUCCAGCAUGUGCUUGUCAUAUAGAGGAUAUUUGACAGGAGUUUUGUCGGUAGAUCCUUAAAAACAACAGCUCGCUCCUGUCAUAUUGAUGAUUUUUGACUUGCAUUGUUGCAGUAAGCAGAGCAGAGUGCUCGUAUCUAGCGUUAACAUAGUGUUUCUGUUUUAAAUGCUAUCUGAAAAUGUGUCCCCAGGAACAAUCUAGUUGGACAGCCCUGCCCAUACAGUGUAGACUUAUCGACUGUUACUGUGCCGGGAAGAGUCAGGACAGGAAUUCAUUCAGUCGGACGAACAGCACUGCUGAGUUGACAAGAGUGCGAGUCAAAGGGGUCAUAAAUCACCUUGUAGUGCAGCCUUAUCUUGGAAGUUGUUGAGGUUGAAGAGCGUGUUUCUGGAGGCCAUGUACUGCAUCAGUCUCUGAUGGAAGAGAGGGAGUAGUUAUUAGUCAUGUGGUCUUGUGCUUCUACGUCAUUUCAGACAGGAGUGUCACGGUGCAUUCAGGGCCCCUUGUCGUCUCACCUCGUUGCCGUACAUCAUGAGGUGAUGUGUGGCGAUGAGCGCUUUGAAAACCACGAUCCAGCUGUUGCUGGCCGUGCGCUCCAGCAGCGUGUCUGCCAGGUGAGGGAUGCUGACGUUCAGCUCGUUGGUGCAGUGGAUCAGGUCUAAAAAAAACAAGCAUUGUAGGGAAGAACUGAGAUUAACGAGUACUAGAAGUGAGCAUUUAUGAGCCUUUAAGCCCUGCCUCUUUACUUACUGUGGAGAAAAUAGCUGGGCCACAAGCCAAAGUCAUUAUAAGAAAAAAACAACCUUGGAGAGUGCUGUGAUGUAUACAUCUAUAUGGACUGCCACAUAUCCGACGACAGAUCAAUGCACAAAUGAUUAUUUAAUGCUAGCAAGAAUAAAUCACAGCUGUAUGAUCAAAAUCCAUUGGGCCGCUGUAACUCAACAGUGCUCUCUGUUCACCAGUGCGUCCAUGGCAAAUCCAGCCAGAAGAUGGAGAGUUACAUUUAUAAAGUCAAUCCAGCGCCGGCUGACACACAAUCGACGCGCGCUGAUGCAUAAUGUGAGGAAAUGAAUAGAGCCACCAUGAAUAAUUAACCUCCUUUUUUUUUUCUCCCACGGCGUCUCAGCAGCCUGCGGAGAUGAAAAGGAACAAAACCUGAGUCGACUUCGACUCCGUUUCUUCACCCUGUGAGACAUCCGUCUGGGGGUGUUCUGCUGCUUGUUUAAAACACACUUGGAAGAACAAGGCCCAUUUUUAAACACUCUAAUGCCUAUGUUGUCUCUUAUAGAUUUGUCUUGUCGCAACAAAAAAAAAAUGGAAAGCACUACUUAGUUGCAACCAGCAAAGGCACUGUUGAUUCAGUCUCAGCUAGUUUGCUACCUAAAGGAGAACAUAAUGUCAGCGAUGUGGGGGGCAGGGGAAAGCUGCAAAAAAGUUCACCAGGCAGUGUUAUUCUUGCACAAUACAACACUUGCAUGGAAACAGGAGUUCAGAACAUUCCGAGAUACAUCCUCCCAUCCAGUGUACACCCUGGACUGGUCGACGACCAAUCACACAGCACAUGCUGUAUAUACAAACGACUAUUCACACUCAAAUUCACGCCUAUGGACAAUUUAGAGUCUGCGAUUAACCCAACAUGCAUGAUUUUGUAAUGUGGGAGGAAGCCAGAGUACCCAAAGGAAACCUACACAUGCACAGGGAGAAACAAAAAAUCAUUCCAGGUGGACUGUUAGAAUUCUAAACUGAAACGAGUGUGCGUGUAUCAAAUAUAUACUCGCGAGUCAAAAACUUUGCCCACCCCUGAUCUAAAUAAACGCAUGCUUUUUCUUUGGCUUUUUUACGACAUAGAAGGGUGUAGAUGGUUAGCAGUGACGGCAACGGGGAAAUAUGUGAUUAUGACCACACAAUAUUCAUACAAAAAAAUAUGAAUUACAUUAUCACUAACCCUGAAAGUUACCAAUCUACUUUCAGUCUUAAUGUGAAGAGACUCGUCUCUCAACUGUUUCUGUUCACAGUGACUCACUUCUUUUUACACUUGAAGGCUAAGACUCUGGCAGUGACAUAUCUGAACUCCUAAUGUAUGGUGAUGUCUCUACGUCAUAAAACUUAAGGGUGAGUUUGACGUGAUUGUUUUUUUUUUCAUGUGUUAAUAUGAAGUGGCUUCUUUUUACACUUGUAUGAGGAUGUCAAGAGCGAAAUGCGAAUGUGAGAGAACGUCUGUGCGCCGCUGUUACAUCAUCGAAAUGAAGGGUGAUUGCGCAAUUUAUUGUUUUUAAGACCUAACUGCAGAAAUCCUAUGCGCGAUAUCAAAUUUUGCUCUGAGAGGUCACUGUGGGCUCUGAUUACACGCAUUGAAUCCCGCUUCUGUCGCCAAGUGGCUGCACUGUAUCUGAGGCGUGCGGCUUAAUGAAAUCCCAUUUACUCUGUGUGACAUGCUCAUCAUUUGCCACGCUUUGUAAAUAGAUAGUAGUGAGGCAGGGUGGGGGGGUGGUUUAAAUAGUCAAAUAGUUCCUCCCCCCCGCAACCACACUCUCUCUCAAGGUCAUGACACCGAGACGGUGCUGAUGACGGGAGCCCGCUUCGGCCCCAGGUUAAUGAGAAGCGAUAACAAUGAAUCAUGGCUUUAGUGCUAUGUGUCAAGGUGAAUUGAUAGCAUCUGGAGUAUGGAUUAAAUAAGCCACAAUAGCAGGAAAUGUACAAUCACAGUGGAACCUCCAAAUUCAAAAGUGUGUACAAUCCCACCACAUUUUUUUGGGCAAAUAGGUGGCACAAAAUGCAAGGUUCCCCUCACUUAGUUUAGGCAGCAUUAAAGAAUAAACUCUCUGACUUUAUUACCUUUUUUGCAAUAUUUAUUCAAAAUGUCGACAUUAUUAUUAUGAUUAUCAUCACAAUGUACACUGAGAGGUCACUCUUGGCCUUAUUACAUGGACUGGAUCCCCCUUCUGUCGCCAGCCUAGACCAUAUAAAAAUAUUUCCCAUGGGUUAAACGAAUAGCUGAAAUGUGUUUAUCAUUUACAAAUGAACUUCCAACUCUGAAAUGUCAUGCAGUUGGAAAUCCAACCACAUUCUUUCAGGCAAUAGGUGGCACAAAACGCAAAUAUUGUCUCACUCUGAGUGUGUUUGGCUUUUUCUUAGACCUUUUUUUUGCAACAUUUAUGUAAAAAAAAAAAAAAAAAAUGUCAUUAAUAUAGAAAUUGUAUGUGGGUUAUCACACCGUGCUCUGAGAGGUUACUCUAGACCUCGAUACGUGCAUUGAAUCCCACUUCUGUCGCCGAUCGCAAAUUUAAUGAAAUCUCAUUCACGGUACUCUGCGUGACAUUACAGAAUGUCCUCGAUUGCUAACGUUAGUAUCCCAUCGCUUGUUAGUAACACCUUUUAUUGUUGCAUGGGUUAGCUUCUUUUUACACUUAAUUAAGUAUUACACAGUAAUACUGAAAAAUGAGCAACGGGAGUGUUUUAAUAUGUUAAUUUUAGUGUUAACCUAUUUUUACACUUAUAUGACAUUUAAGAAUGUUGCUGAAAAUGUGCACUGGACAGUUAAUACAGGACAUUAUUUAUAAUAGCUGGUUUGACCCUGGAGUGGGUCACGCUAGGUCCUUGUGGUUCCCCUGCAUAUUCAGGGAAUUAUUUUCUCUGCUUUAUUUUUUUUUGUGGUACCUUAAAUAGAAAGUGGCUUGAUGGCACUAUCUACAGGGGAACAAGAGUGCUGCAGCGAUGAACCCAGCACCCAUCAAAGGAAGAUGCUUUGACAAGACGCGAUGUUGUGUAACUGCACGUUUUGAAAAACAGAUUUAGAGGUUCCACUGCAGCUGUUUUUUUUGCCACGGUCUCAUUAUUUUUUGUAUCCUUGCUGAUUCCAUUUGCCAGUGAGAGCGAUUCUUUACCAGAACCAAGUAUGCAUCUCCUUUUUUUACGAUCCCGUUUACGAGGUGAGUUUGAGUUCUGAGUUGUUGCACACCAAACGACAAAAGUCUACCUUGCCGGGGGGUGGGCGGCAUCAGACCCACUUUGCGCAAACACACCUCUGCCCCGCGUCCUUGCCUGACUUUUAUAUUUGCUGCAGUUCAAAUUAAAACAAAAAAAACCCCACACGCAGCAGCUUAGAGAGAAUAUGCUAAGCUUCUAACACCACAUCACAAUUGGUCGGAUAAGAACCAAUAAAACCUCAUGUAAGCGAGCUGGCUCAUUGGGUCAGAAAAUCUCAAUGUUUUUAAGCUUCGGAGUGAUGAAACGUGGUCUAAAUUCAAUAAAGUCAUUGCGGCUGCAGUCUGGUGACAUUUACUGCUCUGAAGGUGGAUCACCUCUCGUUUAAUAACUGCAGGCACAAUAUUGGCAUCAUAACAACAAUAAAGGAACCCAUACAUCAACAUUACCAAGUCUUCUUCCCGGCCACAACAAUAGGUACACCUAAUGAGAUCCAAUAAAAAUAAUUCCCCCUUUACAAAGAUAAUCCAUCCAUCCAUUUUCUAUACCGCUUCAUCCUCAUUAGGGUCGCGGUCGCAGCUGACUUCGGGCGACUGGGGUACACCCUGGACUGGUCGCCAGCCAAUCGCAGGGCACAUAUAGACAAACAACCAUUCACACCUAUGGACAAUUUAGAGUCGCCAAUUAACAUUACCUGCAUGUUUUUGGAAUGUGGGCGGAAGCCGGAGUGCCCGGAGAAAACCCACACGCACACGGGGAGAACAUGCAAACUCCACACAGAAAUGCCCAGGGGAGAAUCGAACCCGAUCUCCAGGCUGUUCCUGUAUUGGCCAACGUGCUAACCACUAGACCACCGUGCGGCCCUUACAAAGAUAAUAUUAUUCAUAUAUAGAAUACGUGUCAAAGUCGGGCCCGGGGGCUAAAUCCUGCCGCGCUGCAAUUUUGUGCGGCGCACGGAACUGUUUGGAAAAUAGCAUUGAGUCGGCCCGCCUCGCGGACCUUAUCAAAGUGCUUACAGCGAUCUGCAUAAUUAAGCGAUUCCUCUGGUAUAAACUACUCCUCCUGCAUUAUAAUUUUAAAAGUGGAAACUAUAUUGUAUAUAGCAUGAAAUUCACAGCCAUCCUAAAUAGGGGUGCCAGAUUCAGACCAAAAGUCAAAAUAAUUUAAUUGUGCAUGGCUAAACACAAAGCACUAAAGUACUUUAACUAUUACAGUACACCCUGUCUGUACAAAAUAUCACCUUAAGGAGACCACAGCAAAGCAUGCUGGGAAACGCGUAAUCCGCCCAUUCCACAGCUCCAAAUUCUUCCGGGUUACACAUCUUGCAGAUUGUGACGUUUUUGUGUUGAAAUAAAAUACUGUAGCUUUUGCCCCGACAUUGAGAGAAUGACGAAGAGGUGGUCGAUCGACAAUCACUUUAUUGAAGCGAACAACCACACCCAGACAGCCAUAUUCCUACAUCCACAGACUAUCGAAAAGUAGAAAUUUCAAGCAGGAAUGAAUGGACACGAAAAAAUGCGCAUGUCCACAUAAAGACACACUCACCAGCUGUCCUGCACAUUUUGUCCCAACCUGAAAACGCAACCACUGGGAUGCAUUAUAUUGGCAUGUUCCAAUCCUGGAACCAACAUAAAAGGUGUGCAUGCUACUUACUUUUCAAGUCGUCAUUGUUAAUGAGACAUUUUCUCAAAAUCAGACCAUACUAACUACAAUUUUUUUCAGCCUAGAUCAUUGGGGCAUGUCCUGUCAUGUUCGCAACUUCAAACGAGCAUCUCUGUGUGUGUGCACUGAUGAUGCAUAUGAGUGUGCUUCAUUCACCUAUUAUGUUUGUUUAACGAACAAGAAGGUUUUAAGGUUUUUAGUCCUUUCAAUAUGCAGAAAUAUACAAGUGUUGAAGAUUUCAGGAUAAAUAUUGAGAAAGAUACAAAGUUGGGGAGUGUGGUGGGGUGUAAUGUCCAGUUUGGCCCACAACCUAAAGUAGGCUUUGAGUUUUGGCCCCCUGUGCGAUUGAGUCGACACCCCUGAUAUAGAGGAUAUUUGACUUUUUGCAGUAUAGAGGCUCUUGAUCCUUAAAAACAGCAGAGUACUCCUAUCAUAUACAAUAGAGGAUCUUUGACUUUUUGCAGUCUCUCCUCAACAAGAGCAUGCCGUACACCUGUCAUAUAGAAGAUCUUUCACUUGCAUUUUUGCAAUGCCUGAGAAACAGCAGCGUGCGUCUGUUAUAUCGAGGAUCUUUGACUUGCAUCAACUUAUUGCUUCUGUUUAAAUGUAUUAACUUUAUUUAUAACUAAUUUGAUAAUUUAGUGAGAUAAAAAUGUGAAGACGCGGCAUAGCCGUACAUAGACAUUAUAUACAAAAUACAGCCGGUCCUUAGCUUUCUGAAAGUGUGUGCCCCGUAAGAAUUGAGGUGAAUGGUCACGAUCAAUGACACCGAAUAAGCCUUUAUGUUCACCUGACCUGCAUGUGUGGAUAGCACACCUUGUGAGGACAAGGAGGGUCCCCGGUGUCGCCAACACGGCAGACCCAUCCCGUGCAGAUUCCCUCCAUAUCGUUCCAUCUUUUUUUUUCCCCCCACUAUAUGUGGAUCAUGGAGUGACUGCCUUGCCUUGGAGGAGUGUGACUGGCAGCACCAUUGAUUACCUGUGCUCUCCAUCGAUCAAGUCAUUUAUUAUUGGGGGAAAAAACCUGCCUAACCUACUACUAAUAACAAUGCAGCACACAUUCAUAAAUGAUAGUGAACUUGACAUUAAUAAUGUUGCUGGACAUCAUGACAAUAAUGCAAAUAGGCCUCAAUGUAAAGCCGAUAGGUGGCCUAUAUUUCCCCUUGAAUGACAUGCAUAGAUGACAUCAAUGCUGUUAUUUAUGGAUGGUGCCCAAUUAAAGAUGAGAAUGAGAUAAAGAUGGAUGGAUGGAGGAGGGGGGCAUCUUUUGUGUGCCCUUUUCUAUGGAUGCAUGCACGCAGACAGUGAGCAGUGAUGGUAUGUUUCACCUACAGUCAAGGUGCUUCUUCUUGGGUCCGCUCACUUCGUGCGUCGUGGCCUUGCACACGGCUUUGCUGAUCGCUGAGCCACUCAUGCUGUGCUGCGCGGCGGCGAUCCGGUCCGUCAGCGUCGGUCCGGACAUGGUGAAAGCGGUAGU